UACGGGGGGGGCAAGCGUUGUUCGGAAUUACUGGGCGUAAAGGGCUUGUAGGUGGCCAACUAAGUCAGACGUGAAAUCCCUCGGCUUAACCGGGGAACUGCGUCUGAUACUGGAUGGCUUGAGUGUGGGAGAGGGAUGCGGAAUUCCAGGUGUAGCGGUGAAAUGCGUAGAUAUCUGGAGGAACACCGGUGGCGAAGGCGGCAUCCUGGACCGGCAUUGACGCUGAACAGCGAAAGCCAGGGGAGCAAACGGG
Molecule: ribosomal RNA, 253 nt
Filed under: uncultured bacterium
Lineage: Bacteria
Description: partial 16S ribosomal RNA
Rfam family: Bacterial small subunit ribosomal RNA
Source: RNAcentral